RNAcentral lists this ribosomal RNA (129 nucleotides) under uncultured Lachnospiraceae bacterium. RNAcentral's name for it is "partial 16S ribosomal RNA". It matches the Rfam family "Bacterial small subunit ribosomal RNA", at positions 335 to 463 of the family's 1533-position model. Lineage: Bacteria; Bacillati; Bacillota; Clostridia; Lachnospirales; Lachnospiraceae. The record is from RNAcentral.
ACUCCUACGGGAGGCAGCAGUGGGGAAUAUUGCACAAUGGGGGAAACCCUGAUGCAGCGACGCCGCGUGAAGGAUGAAGUAUUUCGGUAUGUAAAGCUCUAUCAGCAGGGAAGAUAAUGACGUACCGAC